Long non-coding RNA from Lacerta agilis (Sand lizard), 143 nucleotides. RefSeq lists it as uncharacterized. The record is from RefSeq and is a predicted model, not a curated record. Lineage: Eukaryota; Metazoa; Chordata; Lepidosauria; Squamata; Lacertidae. The transcript is spliced from 2 exons.
GAAAGGUAGCACAGUAGGGGCAAAGCUGAGAUUAGACACUACAGGCAGCCAUGUGGUUUCGAUCUGGCCUGGUAUUUCAAGAUGCAGCCGAAUUCAUUGUCUCUGGCGCAUGUUCCGAAUAAAUCAUACUUACUCGUUGUGUA